ACAAUGAAGAGUUUGAUCCUGGCUCAGGAUGAACGCUAGCGGCAGGCUUAACACAUGCAAGUCGAGGGGCAGCGGGUUGUAGCAAUACAAUGCCGGCGACCGGCGAAAGGGUGAGUAACGCGUGAGCAACAUGCCCGUAAGAGGGGGAUAGUGGGUGGAAACGCCCCGUAAUACCCCGUAACAACAGAGGCCGCAUGACCUUUGUUUAAUAGAUUUAUCGCUUACGGAUUGGCUCGCGUGCCAUUAGCUAGUUGGCGGGGUAACGGCCCACCAAGGCGACGAUGGCUAGGGGUUCUGAGAGGAAGGUCCCCCACAUUGGAACUGAGAACGGUCCAAACUCCUACGGGAGGCAGCAGUGAGGAAUAUUGGUCAAUGGCCGAGAGGCUGAACCAGCCAUGCCGCGUGCGGGAGGACGGCCCUAUGGGUUGUAAACCGCUUUUGUUGGGGAGCAAUAAGUCCCACGUGUGGGAUGAUGAGAGUACCCAGCGAAUAAGCAUCGGCUAACUCCG
RNAcentral lists this ribosomal RNA (509 nucleotides) under Bacteroidales bacterium. RNAcentral describes it as "bacterial SSU rRNA". It matches the Rfam family "Bacterial small subunit ribosomal RNA", at positions 1 to 505 of the family's 1533-position model. The record is from RNAcentral. Lineage: Bacteria; Pseudomonadati; Bacteroidota; Bacteroidia; Bacteroidales.